GUUCAGUGUAGAGGUCUGAGCUGAACAUAGACUUCCGAAAGUCAUUAUCACAUGGGUAGAAAUGGAAACAGAGCUUACAGAGAGACAAAUUACAAAAUAGAAACAGAAUAGACUUGUGUUAAGAGUCCAAGAUGGGCUCCAGAUAUCACUGCCUCCUGUGUAGUCCCCUCCCACAAUGAGUCAGAACUGGACCAUGUGAUAAUGGGGCUAAGUUAUAACAGGCACAAAGGAGAAAAAAAAAAAAAAAAGACAGGUGAUUCAGAGUUGGGGAGGAGACUAAAUUGAACAUGCCAGGGCUAGAUAAGGAGAGAAAACAGGUGCUAGACCUACAAAAUUCUGAAGCUUUCAAAUGUGGAGCUUUGGGCUUAGAACCUGUGAUGUGAUUACUCUAGAAUAGGCCCUUAUACUUUUGACUGGUGCAGCUGGUGUGGCCCAGACACCAGCGAUUUGGACAAGAGCAGUAAAAUGUAGUAGCUCUGGUUCUAGCCCUUAUCUCGAGUAAUUGGUCACUUUGGCUCCAGGCCAUUGUCAUCUCCAUAGGCUUUCCCUUCCAAAGCCUCUUCAGCCCUCUCUUCCGAGGACCUCUGUAUCACCACAGAGGUACUCCAUCUUGUGGGGCAAGUGGUGCACACCUGUAAUCCUGGCUAAGGGAAGCUGAGGCAGGAGGAUCACAAGUUUGAGGCAACUUAGCAAGACCCUGUCUCAAAAUAAAAAGGGAAGGGCUGGGAUUGUGGCUCAGCAGUAGAGUGCGUGUCUAGCACUGGCGGGGCCCGGGUUCAAUCCUCAGCACCACAUAAAAAUAAAGGUAUUGUGUUGUGUCCAUCUACACCUAAAAAAUAAAUUAAAAAAAAAAAAAGGUUGGGACACAGCUCAGUGGUAGAGAGUUUGCCUAGCAUGUGCAAAGCCCUGGGUUCACUCUCCAGUACUAUAAAAGCAAAAAACAAAAAAAAACCUCCAUUUCUAAUUAUGUAUAACUUCAGACACUGAUCUCUGACCUGUCCUACAGCUAAACUCUGAAUUCCUCCUACUGUUCUCUGGUCUGUGGAAACUUCCAGUCCAGUUGUCUCUCUACUUUGUUCUAUUUAUCAACUCCUUUUAGUUUUCACUUCCUUCCCCAUCAGCUAAGAGUCCAGGGUCCAUCAUUCCAUAACAUUCUUCUCAAUAUACUUACAUCCCUUACAUGGUCACACCUGCCUGGCAGUGCUCCACCUGUCUGGUGGUGCUCCACCUUUCCAGACAACCUUCUGUCUUCUCUGAGCCUUCUCCUUGCUGUCAAUGCUGUUGGACUAAAUCUUACAACCACAGAAAUCACAGUGUUAAAUAGACUGCCAACCUCAACUAGAUCCUCUGAGCCAUCCAGCAGUUCUAGGUUUGACAGGUCUGCUCUUUCUUAGUUCUCCCCAACACCAAAUUCCAAAUCUCCUGUAUGCCCCCAGAUCUCCCAUUCCUCACCCCCUCUUUGUUCUCCUAGGUGCCUCCUACACUGAAGAAAGAGCAAACAUCAACGUGAUAUCUGUCAGCUCCCAAGGACUCUGCUUCCCUCCAGCUACCAUCUUCUUUCCUUGAUCCCUUAAUAGCCAAAUCUCUUAGAAAAAGUGGUCUAUGUUUGAACAUUCCAUUGCUUUAUCUUUCCCAUCAUUUCUCAGUCCCCUUCAAUUUUGAUUUCUGCCUUACCUCUUUACUUAUACUGCCCUCAUCAAGGACAUCAAGGAUCUAGUCUUAAUCUUGCUUGACUUUUCAACAUUUAUCAUUGAUAAUCUCUCUCCGUCUCAAUUGCUCUUUUAUCCUUAAAUUCUAUGACCCUACACUCCUCUGGUUUUAAUCUCUUUCUCCACUCAGUUUCUAUUGCAGUUUCUUUUCCUUUGCCAUGAGGGAAAUCAGCACAUUCUCCUUGGGCAGUCUUAUCCAUCCACUACAUGGUUCCAGUCAAUCCCCACAGUUGAUGUUUCUCAAAGCUAUAUCUCUAUCCAAACCCUUGUCCCUGAGUUCCAGACCCAAAUAGCUAACUAUGAACUUCAACAUCUCUGUAUGACGUCACUCCAAACAAUACAUUUCUACUGUACUGAAUGUAUCACCCUCACUUCCAGUCCACCUUCUCCUCCACUAAUGGCAUCACUAGUCUUUUAGUUGCCAAAGCCCAAACUCAUGGAGCUAUCCUUAAUUUCCCUUCCCAUUCAAUCAAUGGCCUGCACACCACUUCUCACUGCUCUUUUUGUUUCUCAUCUGGCUUCCCGACCUACCUUUUACCAUAUUAUAGCCAGGAAAAUUCCGAGAUACAUCUCUGACUUCAUCACUCUUCAGGCUCCAAUUACUCCUAAAAGAGUCCAGAUGCUAGACUCCUGCCACCUGCGUAAUUUCCACUUCUUCAUAGUAAGACAUCUCUUCUCCUGGAGGGUGUUCCCUGUAUGCUGGAUCAGGUUGGUUCCCUGCACCUGUCCCAUAUUAACACCAUCUCAUGUUAUUAUCAUUCCUCACUUGUCUAAAUAGGAAUAAGGCUGAGCAGGACUAUGCAAGGUGUGCAUCCUGCUCUAAUGGGUCUUUCCCUGCCCACUCUGUUCUGUACAAUCUUUGGGGAAAUUUCCUUAGGCGAGAUCUUGAUAUAGGGGUAAUAGUGCAGGCUUGGGAACCAGGAAGCCCUUAAUUUUGCCCCAGCUCAAGUAUAUUAUCCUACUUCUCAUUGAAUUUACCUCACUGCGAAAUGAGAUGAAAGCCGUCUCUUAAAACAGGUCGAGGGGCUGGGAUUGUGGCUCACUGGUAGAGCACUCACCUAGCAUGCUUGAGGCACUGGGUUCGAUCCUCAGCAC
This 2804-nucleotide long non-coding RNA is filed under the name Marmota monax (woodchuck). The record is from RNAcentral. Lineage: Eukaryota; Metazoa; Chordata; Mammalia; Rodentia; Sciuridae.